CUCCCGCCGGCGACCGGCGCACGGGUGAGUAACACGUAUGAAACCUGCCCGUAGCAGGGGGAUAAGCGGAAGAAAUUCCGUCUAAUACCGCGUAACAACCCGAGGAGGCAUCUCCUCGGGUUUAAAGGAAGCGAUUCCGGCUACGGAUGGUCAUGCGUCGCAUUAGCUAGUUGGCGGGGUAACGGCCCACCAAGGCGACAAUGCGUAGGGGUUCUGAGAGGAAGGUCCCCCACACUGGUACUGAGACACGGACCAGACUCCUACGGAAGGCAGCAG
Molecule: ribosomal RNA, 276 nt
Filed under: uncultured bacterium
Lineage: Bacteria
Description: partial 16S ribosomal RNA
Rfam family: Bacterial small subunit ribosomal RNA
Source: RNAcentral